UACGGGGGGGGCAAGCGUUGUUCGGAAUUACUGGGCGUAAAGGGCUCGUAGGCGGCCAACUAAGUCGGAUGUGAAAUCCCCAGGCUUAACCUGGGAACUGCAUCCGAUACUGGAUGGCUUGAAUCCGGGAGAGGGAUGCAGAAUUCCAGGUGUAGCGGUGAAAUGCGUAGAUAUCUGGAGGAAUACCGGUGGCGAAGGCGGCAUCCUGGACCGGCAUUGACGCUGAGGAGCGAAAGCGUGGGGAGCAAACAGG
This 253-nucleotide ribosomal RNA is filed under the name uncultured bacterium. RNAcentral describes it as "partial 16S ribosomal RNA". It matches the Rfam family "Bacterial small subunit ribosomal RNA", at positions 524 to 776 of the family's 1533-position model. The record is from RNAcentral.